Lates calcarifer (barramundi perch) is the source of this 4373-nucleotide RNA transcript. It is a transcript of the gene named bromodomain containing 8a, with no coding region annotated. The record is from RefSeq and is a predicted model, not a curated record. Lineage: Eukaryota; Metazoa; Chordata; Actinopteri; Centropomidae. The transcript is spliced from 19 exons.
CGACAAGAAAAUGGCCACAUCUGCACGAAACUCAAAAACAAGCUAAGUUAGCUAAGUUAAGAAUAUUCAACAGCAACCCAGGGUUGUACCAUCUUUACUGUGGUAGUGGGCGUGUACGUACAGUUGCUGCUGCUAGCUACAAUGAUAAAUAUCUAGUGACUACAUUAAGCUAAAUUUUCUCGUCUGGCCGUUUCCUGGCAGCAUAGACUCUAUUCAGAUUUACGCGAAAUUAAACCGGCGUUGCGACUCUUAACGGAGAAAGCCCUGUGUAGCAUCUGAGCUAGCUAGUUAAUCCUUAAGUUACCAAAGACACAUAUAAGACUGUGACUUUAACGGACAACGGUGGUUCGACGUGCUCGCUAGCUAGAAAGAAAAAUCCUGAAAGCCUCAACAUCCUUAACGUAACAUUCACUGAUGUUAACGUCCAUAUUUUUAUGAAUAACCGUCGUAUUCGGAUCUCGCCAGCGUUAUUAGUAGCUGGGUUUCUGUCUACCAAGAUGUAUGGGAUGUCGGGAUGACAGGAAGAUGGCAAACGGGGUUGGAAAACAUAAGCUGCUUGUCAUUGGACCAACAGAGCCAUGGUCAGUGAGGGAGAAACUGUGUUUGGCCACAUCUGUCAUGAAGAGUGGAGACCAGAACUGGGUAUCUGUCAGCCGAGCCAUCAAACCAUUUGCAGAACCUGGGCGACCUCCUGACUGGUUCUCUCAAAAGCACUGUGCCUCCAAGUACUCUGAGCUCCUGGAAACAACAGAGGCCCCAAAGAGGAAGCGUGGUGAAAAGGGUGAGGUGGUGGAGACAGUGGAGGAUGUGAUAGUACGUAGGCUGACAGCUGAGAGGAUUGAUGAGCUAAAAAAGUUGAUCAAAGAAACACAGGAGAAGCACAGAACGCUGAAGAGAGAGGCUGAACUGAUUCAAGCAGGACAUCUAGAUUCGAAACUAGAGGAGUUAUGGGAAGAAAUUCUGCAGAAGAAGAAACAGGACGAGGAGGAAGCAGAGUUGAAAAGAAAAAACACAGAUGCUGCUUAUCAGGCAAGACAGGUGGCAAAGAGCACACCUAAGCGAGUGCCCGGUGUCACCAUGCAUUCGCCCUCAGGGUGUAGCUCCCCGGGCCAGGAUUUCUCACCAGGUGACCCACUCGAGAGCUUGACACUGGAUCUUGCGUCCGGCCACGGGUCACUUCUGGAUGACCCCACCCAAAAGAAACUCAUAGGGCAAAAAGCCACACCACCGCCAUCUCCGCUCCUGUCAGAGUUACUGAAGAAAGGCAGCAUCUUGGCCUCGAAUUCCAGACUGAUUGGAGAGGGUGAUGCUGGUAACAUGACCGGAGCACAUGACUCGCAGCUGGCUCCACCUAGUCAACCCCUCUCUCAGGCAACAGGUGCCCCGAUGUUGUCUCGCCUCCUGGAGGCGGGUCCCACCCAGUUUACUGCCCCACUAGGUUUCAUGGUCAGCGCAGACUCUGUCUCCAGCGCUGCUCUCUCUACUGCCACUCCUCUUCCUGUUGACUCCACUGCCUCAGCCAGUACAGAGGAUAAGGUGUCAGGCCUCACUGAGGACGAUGUGACUGUGUCCUACAUGGGAGAUGAGUUGGACCUGAAGACAGUGGGAGACAUUAUUGCCAUCAUUGAAGACAAGGCAGAUGAGGCUGCAGAGGCUUUAGAUGCAGCUGCAGUUGAAGCUGCUCUGUCCCUGUGUGAGGAGAAUGGCCAUGCUCUGUCUGGUGCCUGGGAGGCUGGGCCUUUCCAGCCCCACGAGUCCCACCCCACGGGGCCUGCGGGGGUCCCGCAGUCCUCGUCUCUUCACUGUGGCCUGGAGGGGAAGACAGAAGCGUUAGAAGUUCAGGAUGAGACUUCAGCUUCGCUCUCCUCUCUGUGCAGCAGUCAAGAUAACUGUCUUGCAGCAUUCCCCUUGGGACUAAGGAGCAUACUUCCCACCUCCUCAUCCUUGUGCAACUCGAAGAGUUUAGAGCACUGCCGCACUGGAGCACCCCCACGGCCUCAAGCAAUGAGAGAGACCAGAGAGGUGGUGCCCCUGAAAAGCCAGAUUUCAGCAGAUGUUACCAUAAAAUGUGAGAGUGAGAAGUGGGCACAGCAAAGACCUAAUAAAUCACAUGGAGACUCGGUAUUAGAAGAUAGCCCACUGACAGAAAGGCAUCCCAAGGAGAUGAGGGCCGAGAACGGAAUAAGUGUCAGGCAAGGAAGAAACGCCUCAGGGACUAAAGUGGACGACAACGAGGUCAAUGGGCCGGAAGCGUGUGGAGAGGAGGAGGGCGACGGGGCGGAGGGAUUCUUGUCAGAGCCGGACGGCGAGAUGGAGCUGGAACCCGCAGCCAGCGAGAGCGAGGAUGGGUACAGCCUCCACACGGCCUCCUCAUCUCUGCAGCUCCACACGACCGCGGACUCCAUCCCCAGCAGCCCUGCCUCGUCGCAGUUUUCUGUGUGCAGUGAGGACCUGGAAGCACUACAGGCUCACAAGAUAUGGAAGAAAGCCAUUAUGCUGGUGUGGCGUGCAGCGGCCAAUCACAGGUACGCAAAUGUCUUCCUGCAGCCAGUAACAGAUGAAAUUGCACCUGGAUAUCACAGUAUUGUGCACAGGCCCAUGGACCUCGCCACCAUCAAAAAGAACAUUGAGACCGGUUUGAUACGGACCACCGCAGAGUUCCAGAGGGACAUCAUGCUGAUGUUUCAGAACGCCGUCAUGUACAACAGCCUGGAUCACGACGUGUACCACAUGGCCCUGGAGAUGCAGCGUGACGUCCUUGAGCAGAUCCAGCAGUUUCUAGCUACCCAGCUCAUCAUGGAGACUUCAGAGUCUGGUAUCAGCGCCAAGAGUCUGAGGGGCCGUGAGAGCACACGCAAACAGGACUCUACUGACAAGGUGCUUCACUAGAAUUUUGACAAAAGCAGAGAGUACAGAAGAAGAGACAAGGGUGAGACAACAGGCUGACUUAAAGGACACUGUCUCCAUGUCUUCUCCUGCCUUCCUUCUUUCUCUUUUUGACGGAGGCACCAGAGGGCGCCGUUGUGCCAUAGAAGCCGACCUCAAGAUGAAAAAAUGAACAUACAGGAUGAACAUUUUGCCAAGUAUCCCCAAGUCGUAGUGAAAGGUGCAAAACCACAAGACUGAAUUUACUCUCUGUCAGUUGCACAGAUUCUCACUCUGCAUAAUGUGCAGCGUAUCCUUUAUUUGCACUCUAGAUUAAAUGGGUAGACUGUAAUGUGGAGAAGCUCAAGUUGCUCUGAGACAGCCAUACAGACAUGGAUUACAUACUGUAUAAUCCCAGAUUACAAUGGGGCAUUGAGAAAGACUAGGUCAAACCUUCCAUAGACGUAGCUGCAGAUCAGACUUACUUUGCCUGCUCUGCAUUUCAUCAGGUUAUACCAAUAAAGAUAAAAGUUACUCCCAGCCUACAAACGGGGCUGAAAUGAAGCCUGCAGAGGGUCCAGUUUAACUCAGAUUAGUGUGCUUGAUUUUGAUCAUAUGUAAAACCAGAGGCCAAAGAGUCUGAUUAAUCUAAUUUCUGAGCCCAAAAACUGAAUGUUCAGGGGGGCGUAUACUAAUUUCAAACAGAAACAUUUCAUUUCAUAUAAAAUCUUUUCCAUUUUUUCUCUUUUUUUUAGCUUUUCAAUUUUAAAAACUUUCAAAUGUUUGUGAUUAAUUGAUUUUAUCUAUGGUACACUUCCUGUGAAACGGUAUCACAAUACAUACCUUCAGUGUUUUCAGUGUUUUAGAAAAAACGUCAUGUUAAUUAUCUGUUUUGUGGACUUUAAAAUGUUAAAAUAGAACUGUAUAAAGAGCCCCAAACAUACUAACUUGAAUUUGCAUUUUUUUUUUUUACAUCAGUGCCAACCCAAAACACACCACAUCAGUAACUGUUGCAACCUAACUUUGAUGUUUAAGAGCUCAUUUCUCUUCUUUUUCUUUUUCUUUUUUUGUGCAAAAACAAGUGAAAAAAGGUCUAAUCUUCCUUUGGGGGAUUUAAAUAGUUGGAAUUUUAUAUCCUUUUUUUAAGUAUAAAAGUCUGUUUUGCCUAAUUUGUGACUGAUGUUUAAUGUACUGUAUCAGAGUGGGGAAGUUUGCAGAUUUUCUCAGGAUUGGGUUUAAAAAUCUGUUGAAGCUGCAGUGGCCACACUGCAACAAGCUGAGUUAACGUGAGCAUUACAAGAAAAAUAAGUUACCGCUAUUGUGUUUCAUAUAACUUCUCUGAACUGUUGUUACGUAACGCUGUCUACACAAAGAGGGGACACAGCAUCUUCCACUCUGAUGUUGGACCAAUAAUAAUGAAGGAUUUUACAUAUUGGGUUUUGUUAAGUCAUGUUCAGUGUUAUGUAAAUUGGCCUGAUUAAUAAAACUCAUUCAUAGCUUUUACUGAA